ACACACACACACACACACUAAGCCACAUUUCUGAUUUGUGUCAUCAGCUCCCUUAAGACUCCAUUCAUCCAAAGGAAGCAGAAAAUGUCAUCAUAUUAGAAGACAAAGCAAGAAUGUGAAAGGAUAAAGGAGGAACGUGCAAGAAAAACAAGAGGAAUUCUUGAAAGACGAAGCUCAGCGAGAGGAGGCUCUGAAAAUAUAUAAAGAGAAGAAAAUGGCCACAUAUCAGUUGUUGAAGAAAA
Cyprinus carpio (common carp) is the source of this 242-nucleotide long non-coding RNA. RefSeq lists it as uncharacterized. The record is from RefSeq and is a predicted model, not a curated record. NCBI's taxonomy places the organism in Eukaryota, Metazoa, Chordata, Actinopteri, Cypriniformes, Cyprinidae. The transcript has 2 exons.